This 498-nucleotide ribosomal RNA is filed under the name Salmonella enterica. RNAcentral's name for it is "bacterial SSU rRNA". It matches the Rfam family "Bacterial small subunit ribosomal RNA", at positions 1 to 488 of the family's 1533-position model. The record is from RNAcentral. RNAcentral also lists the same sequence under 1 other name. Lineage: Bacteria; Pseudomonadati; Pseudomonadota; Gammaproteobacteria; Enterobacterales; Enterobacteriaceae.
AAAUUGAAGAGUUUGAUCAUGGCUCAGAUUGAACGCUGGCGGCAGGCCUAACACAUGCAAGUCGAACGGUAACAGGAAGCAGCUUGCUGCUUCGCUGACGAGUGGCGGACGGGUGAGUAAUGUCUGGGAAACUGCCUGAUGGAGGGGGAUAACUACUGGAAACGGUGGCUAAUACCGCAUAACGUCGCAAGACCAAAGAGGGGGACCUUCGGGCCUCUUGCCAUCAGAUGUGCCCAGAUGGGAUUAGCUGGUUGGUGAGGUAACGGCUCACCAAGGCGACGAUCCCUAGCUGGUCUGAGAGGAUGACCAGCCACACUGGAACUGAGACACGGUCCAGACUCCUACGGGAGGCAGCAGUGGGGAAUAUUGCACAAUGGGCGCAAGCCUGAUGCAGCCAUGCCGCGUGUAUGAAGAAGGCCUUCGGGUUGUAAAGUACUUUCAGCGGGGAGGAAGGUGUUGUGGUUAAUAACUGCAGCAAUUGACGUUACCCGCAGAAGA